RNAcentral lists this ribosomal RNA (305 nucleotides) under uncultured bacterium. RNAcentral's name for it is "bacterial SSU rRNA". It matches the Rfam family "Bacterial small subunit ribosomal RNA", at positions 335 to 654 of the family's 1533-position model. The record is from RNAcentral.
CUGCCUACGGGGGGCAGCAGUGGGGGAUAUUGCACAACGGGGGAAACCCUGAUGCAGCGACGCCGCGUGGGCGAAGAAGUAUUUCGGUAUGUAAAGCCCUAUCAGCAGGGAAGAAGAAAUGACGGUACCUGAGUAAGAAGCCCCGGCUAACUACGUGCCAGCAGCCGCGGUAAUACGUAGGGGGCAAGCGUUAUCCGGAUUUACUGGGUGUAAAGGGAGCGUAGGUGGCAUGGUAAGCCAGAAGUGAAGACCCGGGGCUCAACCCCGCGGAUUGCUUUUGGAACUAUCAGGCUGGAGUGCUGGAG